RNAcentral lists this long non-coding RNA (938 nucleotides) under Elaeis guineensis (African oil palm). Its description in RNAcentral is "long non-coding RNA (EGUI_LNC016314)". Lineage: Eukaryota; Viridiplantae; Streptophyta; Magnoliopsida; Arecales; Arecaceae. The record is from RNAcentral.
AAAAUUAUUUUCAUCCAUCUUUUCAUGUUUAUCAAAAAAUAAGAGGAUGGAUAGAAGAUACAUCCAUCUUCUCUUCAUCUAUCCUUUUUUUUUUCAUCCAUUCUUCUUUUAAUCCAUCUUCCGAACCAAACAGAGCAUUAAGGUCUGUAAUAUUGGAUCUAGCUUCUAAAAUUAGGCGCUCAUAUCAAUGUAUGUUUUUGUAGCUUGCUAUACAUUUGUGCUCUCUCAGUUGUUGAAGUUGUUAUCAUUUCCCCUCCAUAAUCCAUGUGACGUUAUUUUUGUUUGUAUCCAAUCUGAUUCAUGUUGGCUGUUGUUUGCUGAUUUAUCUGGCUAUCUAAGCUUGCGAGGAAGACUUGAAUUGGGAGCCUGAGUUGUCAUGCCCCCUUGAAGCUAUGCGCAGUUUGAUUGAGAACAUAAUUGGAAAUCUUGUAUUCGGUUUGAUGAGUCCUGUAUUUGAUGACAUGAUGGGAUUGCGCAAGUUGCACGUAACAGGCAAUUGGAGCCUGGGCUAUGUUAGGGGACAAACCCAUACAAAGGCAGGAUGUUUAAUUGAUGUUAUUUAGAUUUGAAUGCAUUGCAUGGCUUUUAGCUGGUUUAUCACCAAUAUUUUUAAUGAAUUGAGUUUUACAAAGGAAUCUGGAAAAAUAAUGGCUAAUAGAAAAAUGAAUCUCGCUGUUGGAACUGCUGGUUGAGGAUGGAGCCAUCAGGCCCUCGUGUAAAGAGGCUAAAGAUCUCCUGUGGAGAACCUCCGGCACCACAUCGGUCGUGGAUCUGAGGCAUGGCGUUAUGCCUCCAGAUUUUCGUUCGGUUGUGCGCGCGCCUGUGAUUUGGUGCUUUUCACGCUCUUCGCUUGUAUUACCUCCAGACGGAUUUCCUUACCCUCUCUGGAACGAUCUGCAACCUCGGUCUCCUGAUCGUCCCUGCUGCGACCUGCAACC